Molecule: transfer RNA, 72 nt
Filed under: Gemmata obscuriglobus
Lineage: Bacteria; Pseudomonadati; Planctomycetota; Planctomycetia; Gemmatales; Gemmataceae
Also listed under: 1 other name
Rfam family: tRNA
About the family: Transfer RNA (tRNA) molecules are approximately 80 nucleotides in length. Their secondary structure includes four short double-helical elements and three loops (D, anti-codon, and T loops).
Source: Rfam by way of RNAcentral
CGCGGGGUGGAGCAGUGGCAGCUCGGCGGGCUCAUAACCCGCAGGUCGCAGGUUCGAUCCCUGCCCCCGCGA